Molecule: long non-coding RNA, 1254 nt
Filed under: Corvus moneduloides (New Caledonian crow)
Lineage: Eukaryota; Metazoa; Chordata; Aves; Passeriformes; Corvidae
Description: lncRNA (ENSCMUG00000017771.1)
Source: RNAcentral
GGGAUCCUCCUCAUCCCUUUCCCAAGGAAUGGGGCUCCUCCUGCACCCCCUUCCCGAGGGAUUGGGAUCCCCCUCAUCCCUUUCCCAAGGAUUGGGGCUUCUCCUGCACCCCUUUCUCGAGGGAUUGGGAUCCCUCUCAUCCCUUUCCCAAGGAAUGGGGCUCCUCCUGCCCCCCUUUCCAAGGGAUUGGGAUCCCUCUCAUCCCUUUCCCAAGGAAUGGGGCUCCUCCUGCACCCCCUUCCCGAGGGAUUGGGAUCCCUCUCAUCCCUUUCCCAAGGAAUGGGGCUCCUCCUGCACCCCCUUCCCGAGGGAUUGGGAUCCUCCUCAUCCCUUUCCCAAGGAAUGGGGCUCCUCCUGCACCCCCUUCCAAGGGAUUGGGAUCCUCCUCAUCCCUUUCCCAAGGAAUGGGGCUCCUCCUGCCCCCCUUCCCGAGGGAUUGGGAUCCCUCUCAUCCCUUUCCCAAGGAAUGGGGCUCCUCCUGCACCCCCUUCCCGAGGGAUUGGGAUCCUCCUCAUCCCUUUCCCAAGGAAUGGGGCUCCUCCUGCACCCCUUUCCUGAGGGAUUGGGAUCCUCCUCACUCCUUUCCCAAGGAAUGGGGCUUCUCCUGCACCCCCUUCCUGAGGGAUUGGGAUCCCCCUCAUCCCUUUCCCAAGGGAUUGGGAUCCUCCUCAUCCCUUUCCCAAGGAAUGGGGCUCCUCCUGCACCCCCUUCCCGAGGGAUUGGGAUCCUCCUCAUCCCUUUCCCAAGGAAUGGGGCUCCUCCUGCCCCCCUUCCCGAGGGAUUGGGAUCCCCCUCAUCCCUUUCCCAAGGAUUGGGGCUUCUCCUGCACCCCUUUCCCGAGGGAUUGGGAUCCUCCUCAUCCCUUUCCCAAGGAAUGGGGCUCCUCCUGCACCCCCUUCCCGAGGGAUUGGGAUCCCUCUCAUCCCUUUCCCAAGGGAUUGGGAUCCUCCUCAUCCCUUUCCCAAGGAAUGGGGCUCCUCCUGCCCCCCUUUCCAAGGGAUUGGGAUCCCUCUCAUCCCUUUCCCAAGGAAUGGGGCUCCUCCUGCACCCCCUUCCCGGGGGAUUGGGAUCCUCCUCAUCCCUUUCCCAAGGAAUGGGGCUCCUCCUGCACCCCUUUCCCGAGGGAUUGGGAUCCCUCUCAUCCCUUUCCCAAGGAAUGGGGCUCCUCCUGCACCCCCUUCCAAGGGAUUGGGAUCCUCCUCAUCCCUUUCCCAAGGAAUGGGGCUCCUCCUGCCCCCCUUCCCGAGGGAUUGG